This 449-nucleotide ribosomal RNA is filed under the name uncultured bacterium. Its description in RNAcentral is "partial 16S ribosomal RNA". It matches the Rfam family "Bacterial small subunit ribosomal RNA", at positions 30 to 523 of the family's 1533-position model. The record is from RNAcentral.
AUUGAACGCUGGCGGCAUGCCUUACACAUGCAAGUCGAACGAACUCUUCGGAGUUAGUGGCGGACGGGUGAGUAACACGUGGGAACGUGCCUUUAGGUUCGGAAUAACUCAGGGAAACUUGUGCUAAUACCGAAUGUGCCCUUCGGGGGAAAGAUUUAUCGCCUUUAGAGCGGCCCGCGUCUGAUUAGCUAGUUGGUGAGGUAAAGGCUCACCAAGGCGACGAUCAGUAGCUGGUCUGAGAGGAUGAUCAGCCACAUUGGGACUGAGACACGGCCCAAACUCCUACGGGAGGCAGCAGUGGGGAAUCUUGCGCAAUGGGCGAAAGCCUGACGCAGCCAUGCCGCGUGAAUGAUGAAGGUCUUAGGAUUGUAAAAUUCUUUCACCGGGGACGAUAGUGACGGUACCCGGAGAAGAAGCCCCGGCUAACUUCGUGCCAGCCGCCGCGGUAA